This 233-nucleotide ribosomal RNA is filed under the name uncultured bacterium. Its description in RNAcentral is "partial 16S ribosomal RNA". It matches the Rfam family "Bacterial small subunit ribosomal RNA", at positions 544 to 776 of the family's 1533-position model. The record is from RNAcentral.
UCCGGAUUCACUGGGGUUAAAGGGUGCGUAGGUGGGCUGGUAAGUCAGUGGUGAAAUCUCCAGGCUUAACUUGGAAACUGCCAUUGAUACUAUCAGUCUUGAAUACCGUGGAGGUCAGCGGAAUAUGUCAUGUAGCGGUGAAAUGCUUAGAUAUGACAUAGAACACCAAUUGCGAAGGCAGCUGGCUACACGAAUAUUGACACUGAUGCACGAAAGCGUGGGGACCAAACAGG